RNAcentral lists this ribosomal RNA (1022 nucleotides) under Enterococcus sp. RNAcentral describes it as "bacterial SSU rRNA". It matches the Rfam family "Bacterial small subunit ribosomal RNA", at positions 39 to 1034 of the family's 1533-position model. The record is from RNAcentral. Lineage: Bacteria; Bacillati; Bacillota; Bacilli; Lactobacillales; Enterococcaceae.
GCGGCUGCUAUACAUGCAGUCGAACGCUUCUUUUUCCACCGGAGCUUGCUCCACCGGAAAAAGAGGAGUGGCGAACGGGUGAGUAACACGUGGGUAACCUGCCCAUCAGAAGGGGAUAACACUUGGAAACAGGUGCUAAUACCGUAUAACAAUCAAAACCGCAUGGUUUUGAUUUGAAAGGCGCUUUCGGGUGUCGCUGAUGGAUGGACCCGCGGUGCAUUAGCUAGUUGGUGAGGUAACGGCUCACCAAGGCCACGAUGCAUAGCCAACCUGAGAGGGUGAUCGGCCACAUUGGGACUGAGACACGGCCCAAACUCCUACGGGAGGCAGCAGUAGGGAAUCUUCGGCAAUGGACGAAAGUCUGACCGAGCAACGCCGCGUGAGUGAAGAAGGUUUUCGGAUCGUAAAACUCUGUUGUUAGAGAAGAACAAGGAUGAGAGUAACUGUUCAUCCCUUGACGGUAUCUAACCAGAAAGCCACGGCUAACUACGUGCCAGCAGCCGCGGUAAUACGUAGGUGGCAAGCGUUGUCCGGAUUUAUUGGGCGUAAAGCGAGCGCAGGCGGUUUCUUAAGUCUGAUGUGAAAGCCCCCGGCUCAACCGGGGAGGGUCAUUGGAAACUGGGAGACUUGAGUGCAGAAGAGGAGAGUGGAAUUCCAUGUGUAGCGGUGAAAUGCGUAGAUAUAUGGAGGAACACCAGUGGCGAAGGCGGCUCUCUGGUCUGUAACUGACGCUGAGGCUCGAAAGCGUGGGGAGCAAACAGGAUUAGAUACCCUGGUAGUCCACGCCGUAAACGAUGAGUGCUAAGUGUUGGAAGGGUUUCCGCCCUUCAGUGCUGCAGCUAACGCAUUAAGCACUCCGCCUGGGGAGUACGACCGCAAGGUUGAAACUCAAAGGAAUUGACGGGGGCCCGCACAAGCGGUGGAGCAUGUGGUUUAAUUCGAAGCAACGCGAAGAACCUUACCAGGUCUUGACAUCCUUUGACCACUCUAGAGAUAGAGCUUCCCCUUCGGGGGCAAAGUGA